CUAUGCGCCUUGCCAGCCCGCUCAGGUGUCCAGCAGCCGCGGUAAUACGUAGGGGGCAAGCGUUAUCCGGAUUUACUGGGUGUAAAGGGAGCGCAGACGGCGCGGCAAGUCCGGAGUGAAAGCCCGGGGCCCAACCCCGGGACUGCUCUGGAAACUGCGGCGCUCGAGUGCCGGAGGGGCAGGCGGAAUUCCUAGUGUAGCGGUGAAAUGCGUAGAUAUUAGGAGGAACACCAGUGGCGAAGGCGGCCUGCUGGACGGCGACUGACGUUGAGGCUCGAAAGCGUGGGGAGCAAACAGG
Molecule: ribosomal RNA, 298 nt
Filed under: uncultured bacterium
Lineage: Bacteria
Description: partial 16S ribosomal RNA
Rfam family: Bacterial small subunit ribosomal RNA
Source: RNAcentral